UGGGGAAUUUUGGACAAUGGGCGAAAGCCUGAUCCAGCAAUGCCGCGUGUGUGAAGAAGGCCUUCGGGUUGUAAAGCACUUUUGUCCGGAAAGAAAUCCUUGGCUCUAAUACAGUCGGGGGAUGACGGUACCGGAAGAAUAAGCACCGGCUAACUACGUGCCAGCAGCCGCGGUAAUACGUAGGGUGCAAGCGUUAAUCGGAAUUACUGGGCGUAAAGCGUGCGCAGGCGGUUUGCUAAGACCGAUGUGAAAUCCCCGGGCUCAACCUGGGAACUGCAUUGGUGACUGGCAGGCUAGAGUAUGGCAGAGGGGGGUAGAUGUCCACGUGUAGCAGUGAAAUGCGUAGAGAUGUGGAGGAAUACCGAUGGCGAAGGCAGCCCCCUGGGCCAAUACUGACGCUCAUGCACGAAAGCGUGGGGAGCAAAACAGGAUUAGAUACCCUGGUAGUCCACGCCCUAAACGAUGUCAACUAGUUGUUGGGGAUUCAUUUCCUUAGUAACGUAGCUAACGCGUGAAGUUGACCGCCUGGGGAGUACGGUCGCAAGAUUAAAACUUAAAUGAAUUGACGGGGUCAUAGCUGUUUCCU
Molecule: ribosomal RNA, 586 nt
Filed under: uncultured bacterium
Lineage: Bacteria
Description: partial 16S ribosomal RNA
Rfam family: Bacterial small subunit ribosomal RNA
Source: RNAcentral